This 91-nucleotide non-coding RNA is filed under the name uncultured Ruminococcus sp. Its description in RNAcentral is "SAM riboswitch (S box leader)". It matches the Rfam family "SAM riboswitch aptamer (S box leader)". Rfam says of the family: The SAM riboswitch is found upstream of a number of genes which code for proteins involved in methionine or cysteine biosynthesis in Gram-positive bacteria. The SAM riboswitch acts at the level of transcription termination control. The predicted structure consists of a complex stem-loop region followed by a single stem loop terminator region. Lineage: Bacteria; Bacillati; Bacillota; Clostridia; Eubacteriales; Oscillospiraceae. The record is from RNAcentral.
CUUAUCAAGAGCGACGGAGGGAACAGGCCCUGUGAAGUCCGGCAACCUGCAAUGCAAGGUGCUAAAUCCUGCGGUUUAACCGAAAGAUGAG